Molecule: long non-coding RNA, 1004 nt
Filed under: Piliocolobus tephrosceles (Ugandan red Colobus)
Lineage: Eukaryota; Metazoa; Chordata; Mammalia; Primates; Cercopithecidae
Description: lncRNA (ENSPTEG00000001118.1)
Source: RNAcentral
ACGUAAAUACUCCCAACUUUGGACACCUGGCAUCAGUGCUUGGUGGCCCAAGUUUGGGCACCACAGCAGGUGGGGAGGAAGGGUCCAGCCUCAAAGGGGGCACCCAUGCCCUCUGUAUGGGGCAGGCUUGGCGAACGGGACUUGGGCUUCGAGGGCACCUGUCAAAGGUGUGCAGAGUUGGGAAGGGCCUGAUCAGGUCUUCAAGGGGACUGGAUGCCUGCUGUUCCCUGCAGCCAGGACUCAGCCCCCAGUGAGGUCCUGGCAGUCCUCCCUGGCUGGCGUUAGGUCCAGGGCUUUCCUCUAGGGAUGCUCCCACCCUGGCAGGCCUUUGGGUACAGCUGAGGAGGGGGCCCCUUGCUUCAUUGAAUUCAGCUGUUGUUAGGAGAGAGGAAAACUGAGCUGGACCUCUGGGGCAUGGGGCUGGAGGUGGCAGGGGAGGAGUGGACCCAACCAACCUACUGCUGUGGGAUUUCUGUCCCUUUCCAGGCUGCAGUAGAUGGUCCCAUGGACAAGAAGGCAGAGUAAGGGCCUCCUUCCUCCCCUGCCUGCAGCUGGCUUCCACCUGGCACGUGCCUGCUGCUUCCUGAGAGCCCAGCCUCUUCCUCCGAUGACACCGGGCUGCCGCCACCCCUUUUCUCAAUCGCACAACCAGCCUUUCACACGCACCCCCUCACGCAAGCCGCCCUCGCCAGGCCCCCUUGCCAGACCCAGUGAGCAUUCUGCAGGUCACUGUCCUUCACCAGCAGCAGCAGCACUGGACAGAUGGAGCCAGUCACUGCUCCUCCCUGACCUGUGAAGGGACCCCACCAGCUCUCAGGCAUCCUCCCCCAUCGCUGCUGCGUCUCCCCUCUGCCCCUCUCAUUGUGUCUCUGGACUUGUGGCGUCCCUGUGAGCUCACCCAGGCUCAAGGCUUUCAGUGUCAUCUCUAUGUGGUAAGAACUUGCCAAGUUCCAUCUCCAGUACUUUCUGGAACUUCUGUGUCCACCUGCCAACUAGACAUCUCC